RNAcentral lists this ribosomal RNA (1343 nucleotides) under uncultured bacterium. RNAcentral's name for it is "16S ribosomal RNA". It matches the Rfam family "Bacterial small subunit ribosomal RNA", at positions 28 to 1378 of the family's 1533-position model. The record is from RNAcentral.
GACGAACGCUGGCGGCGUGCUUAACACAUGCAAGUCGAACGGAAAGGCCCUGCUUUUGUGGGGUGCUCGAGUGGCGAACGGGUGAGUAACACGUGAGUAACCUGCCCUUGACUUUGGGAUAACUUCAGGAAACUGGGGCUAAUACCGGAUAGGAGCUCCUGCUGCAUGGUGGGGGUUGGAAAGUUUUGGCGGUUGGGGAUGGACUCGCGGCUUAUCAGCUUGUUGGUGGGGUAGUGGCUUACCAAGGCUUUGACGGGUAGCCGGCCUGAGAGGGUGACCGGCCACAUUGGGACUGAGAUACGGCCCAGACUCCUACGGGAGGCAGCAGUGGGGAAUAUUGCACAAUGGGCGGAAGCCUGAUGCAGCAACGCCGCGUGCGGGAUGACGGCCUUCGGGUUGUAAACCGCUUUCGCCUGUGACGAAGCGUGAGUGACGGUAAUGGGUAAAGAAGCACCGGCUAACUACGUGCCAGCAGCCGCGGUGAUACGUAGGGUGCGAGCGUUGUCCGGAUUUAUUGGGCGUAAAGGGCUCGUAGGUGGUUGAUCGCGUCGGAAGUGUAAUCUUGGGGCUUAACCCUGAGCGUGCUUUCGAUACGGGUUGACUUGAGGAAGGUAGGGGAGAAUGGAAUUCCUGGUGGAGCGGUGGAAUGCGCAGAUAUCAGGAGGAACACCAGUGGCGAAGGCGGUUCUCUGGGCCUUUCCUGACGCUGAGGAGCGGAAGCGUGGGGAGCGAACAGGCUUAGAUACCCUGGUAGUCCACGCUGUAAACGGUGGGUACUAGGUGUGGGGUCCAUUCCACGGGUUCCGUGCCGUAGCUAACGCUUUAAGUACCCCGCCUGGGGAGUACGGCCGCAAGGCUAAAACUCAAAGGAAUUGACGGGGCCCCGCACAAGCGGCGGAGCAUGCGGAUUAAUUCGAUGCAACGCGUAGAACCUUACCUGGGUUUGACAUGGAUCGGGAGUGCUCAGAGAUGGGUGUGCCUCUUUUGGGGUCGGUUCACAGGUGGUGCAUGGCUGUCGUCAGCUCGUGUCGUGAGAUGUUGGGUUAAGUCCCGCAACGAGCGCAACCCUUGUUCACUGUUGCCAGCACGUUAUGGUGGGGACUCAGUGGAGACCGCCGGGGUCAACUCGGAGGAAGGUGGGGAUGACGUCAAGUCAUCAUGCCCCUUAUGUCCAGGGCUUCACGCAUGCUACAAUGGCUGGUACAGAGAGUGGCGAGCCUGUGAGGGUGAGCGAAUCUCGGAAAGCCGGUCUCAGUUCGGAUUGGGGUCUGCAACUCGACCUCAUGAAGUCGGAGUCGCUAGUAAUCGCAGAUCAGCAACGCUGCGGUGAAUACGUUCCCGGG